Molecule: ribosomal RNA, 156 nt
Filed under: Clostridium mobile
Lineage: Bacteria; Bacillati; Bacillota; Clostridia; Eubacteriales; Clostridiaceae
Description: Clostridium sp. MSJ-11 partial 23S ribosomal RNA
Rfam family: Bacterial large subunit ribosomal RNA
Source: RNAcentral
GCUGAAAGCAUCUAAGCGUGAAGCCCACCUCAAGAUUAGAUUUCCCAUAGCGUAAGCUAGUAAGACCCCUUGAAGAACACAAGGUUGAUAGGCUAGAGGUGUAAGUGUAGUAAUACAUUCAGCUGACUAGUACUAAUAGGUCGAGGGCUUGAUCUU